GUUUGAUCAUGGCUCAGAACGAACGCUGGCGGCAUGCCUAACACAUGCAAGUCGAACGCCUGUAGCAAUACAGGAGUGGCGCACGGGUGAGUAACGCGUGGGAACCUGCCCUGGAGUGGGGGAUAACCGAGAGAAAUUUCGGCUAAUACCGCAUACGACCUGAGGGUGAAAGAUUUAUCGCUCUUGGAGGGGCCCGCGUCGGAUUAGCUAGUUGGUGGGGUAAUGGCCUACCAAGGCAACGAUCCGUAGCUGGUCUGAGAGGAUGAUCAGCCACACUGGGACUGAGACACGGCCCAGACUCCUACGGGAGGCAGCAGUGGGGAAUAUUGGACAAUGGGGGCAACCCUGAUCCAGCAAUGCCGCGUGAGUGAUGAAGGCCUUAGGGUUGUAAAGCUCUUUCGGCGGGGACGAUGAUGACGGUACCCGCAGAAGAAGCCCCGGCUAACUUCGUGCCAGCAGCCGCGGUAAUAACCUAAAUAGCGCUGUU
This 487-nucleotide ribosomal RNA is filed under the name uncultured bacterium. RNAcentral describes it as "bacterial SSU rRNA". It matches the Rfam family "Bacterial small subunit ribosomal RNA", at positions 11 to 545 of the family's 1533-position model. The record is from RNAcentral.